AACGAACGCUGGCGGCAUGCCUAACACAUGCAAGUCGAACGAGACCUUCGGGUAUAGUGGCGCACGGGUGCGUAACGCGUGGGAACCUGCCCUUAGGUUCGGAAUAACUCCCCGAAAGGGGUGCUAAUACCGGCUAAUGUCUCCGGACCAAAGAUUUAUCGCCUUUGGAUGGGCCCGCGUUGGAUUAGCUAGUUGGUAGGGUAAAAGCCUACCAAGGCGACGAUCCAUAGCUGGUCUGAGAGGAUGAUCAGCCACACUGGGACUGAGACACGGCCCAGACUCCUACGGGAGGCAGCAGUGGGGAAUAUUGGAAAAUGGGCGAAAGCCUGAUCCAGCAAUGCCGCGUGAGUGAUGAAGGCCUUAGGGUUGUAAAGCUCUUUUACCCGGGAUGAUAAUGACAGUACCGGGAGAAUAAGCUCCGGCUAACUCCGUG
Molecule: ribosomal RNA, 433 nt
Filed under: uncultured bacterium
Lineage: Bacteria
Description: partial 16S ribosomal RNA
Rfam family: Bacterial small subunit ribosomal RNA
Source: RNAcentral